Molecule: ribosomal RNA, 497 nt
Filed under: uncultured bacterium
Lineage: Bacteria
Description: partial 16S ribosomal RNA
Rfam family: Bacterial small subunit ribosomal RNA
Source: RNAcentral
GAUGAACGCUGGCGGCGUGCUUAAUACAUGCAAGUCGAGCGAACGGACGAGACGCUUGCUUCUCUGAUGUUAGCGGCGGACGGGUGAGUAACACGUGGAUAACCUACCUAUCUGACUGGGAUAACUUCGGGAAACCGGAGUUAAUAAUGGAUGAUAUUUUGAACCGCAUGGUUCAAAAGUGACAGACGGUCUUGCUGUCACUUAUAGAUGGAUCCGCGCUGCAUUAGCUAGUUGGUAAGGUAAAGACUUACCAAGGCAACGAUGCAUAGCCGACCUGAGAGGGUGAUCGGCCGCACUAGAGCGUGAACGGGGUCCAUGCGCCUACGAGAGGCAGCAGUAGGGAAUCUUCCGCAGUGGUCGAAAGCCUGACAGAGCAGCGCCGCGUGAGAGGUGAAGAUCUUCGGAUCGUAAAACUCUGUUAUUAGGUGAGAACAUAUGUUAGAGGAGCUGUACACAGCUUGACGGUACCUAAUCAGAAAGCCACGGCUAACUACGUG